Molecule: ribosomal RNA, 124 nt
Organism: Ochotona princeps (American pika)
Lineage: Eukaryota; Metazoa; Chordata; Mammalia; Lagomorpha; Ochotonidae
Source: Ensembl
GUUUGUUUUUGUCUUACGCAUAUGCACCUGAUCUCGUCUGAUCUCAGAAGCUAAGCAGGGUCGGGUCGAGCCUGGUUAGUACUUGGAUGGUCCAACACAUAAAAGAACAAAUGCUAGGCAAGCU